This 464-nucleotide ribosomal RNA is filed under the name uncultured bacterium. RNAcentral's name for it is "bacterial SSU rRNA". It matches the Rfam family "Bacterial small subunit ribosomal RNA", at positions 330 to 792 of the family's 1533-position model. The record is from RNAcentral.
UCCAGACUCCUACGGGAGGCAGCAGUGAGGAAUAUUGGUCAAUGGGCGCGAGCCUGAACCAGCCAAGUAGCGUGAAGGAUGACUGCCCUACGGGUUGUAAACUUCUUUUAUAAAGGAAUAAAGUGAGGCACGUGUGCCUUUUUGUAUGUACUUUAUGAAUAAGGAUCGGCUAACUCCGUGCCAGCAGCCGCGGUAAUACGGAGGAUGCGAGCGUUAUCCGGAUUUAUUGGGUUUAAAGGGUGCGUAGGCGGAAUGCCAAGUCAGCGGUAAAAUCGCGGGGCUCAACCUCGCUCCGCCGUUGAAACUGGCGUUCUUGAGUGGGCGAGAAGUAUGCGGAAUGCGUGGUGUAGCGGUGAAAUGCAUAGAUAUCACGCAGAACUCCGAUUGCGAAGGCAGCAUACCGGCGCCCAACUGACGCUGAAGCACGAAAGCGUGGGUAUCGAACAGGAUUAGAUACCCUAGUA